CACCUGGAAACAGAUGCUAAUACCGGAUAACAACAGAUGAUGCCUAUCAACUGUUUAAAAGAUGGUUCUGCUAUCACUCUUGGAUGGACCUGCGGUGCAUUAGCUAGUUGGUAGGGUAACGGCCUACCAAGGCGAUGAUGCAUAGCCGAGUUGAGAGACUGAUCGGCCACAUUGGGACUGAGACACGGCCCAAACUCCUACGGGAGGCAGCAGCC
RNAcentral lists this ribosomal RNA (215 nucleotides) under uncultured Lactobacillus sp. Its description in RNAcentral is "partial 16S ribosomal RNA". It matches the Rfam family "Bacterial small subunit ribosomal RNA", at positions 147 to 355 of the family's 1533-position model. The record is from RNAcentral. Lineage: Bacteria; Bacillati; Bacillota; Bacilli; Lactobacillales; Lactobacillaceae.